This 618-nucleotide ribosomal RNA is filed under the name Hygrophorus persicolor. RNAcentral's name for it is "eukaryotic LSU rRNA". The stretch from base 227 to 380 matches the Rfam family "5.8S ribosomal RNA". Lineage: Eukaryota; Fungi; Basidiomycota; Agaricomycetes; Agaricales; Hygrophoraceae. The record is from RNAcentral.
UUGGUCAUUUAGUGGAAGUAAAAGUCGUAACAAGGUUUCCGUAGGUGAACCUGCGGAAGGAUCAUUAUUGAAUUUUGAAGAGGUUGUAGCUGGUCUUCAUAAGACAUGUGCACACUUCUAUUCCAAAUUUUACACCCUGUGCACUUUUGUAGGCCAUUGAUUUGGUCUAUGUUUUUUCAAUACACCCUGUUAUAAAGUUAUGAAUGCUCAAUUAUUAAAUUAAUACAACUUUCAACAACGGAUCUCUUGGCUCUCGCAUCGAUGAAGAACGCAGCGAAAUGCGAUAAGUAAUGUGAAUUGCAGAAUUCAGUGAAUCAUCGAAUCUUUGAACGCACCUUGCGCUCCUUGGUAUUCCGAGGAGCAUGCCUGUUUGAGUGUCAUUAAAUUCUCAAACUCUCUCUCUUAUUAGAGAGAGAGAGGCUUUGGAUUUGGAGGUGUUUGCUGGCUUAUUUGUCGGCUCCUCUUAAAUGCAUUAGCUUGCACUUUUUUGUGGAUAGGCUUUGGUUUGAUAAUAUCUAUGCCAUCGCCGUGAAACAAAUGUUAGCUUAUAAUGGUCCUUUCUGGACAACCUUUUGACAUUUUGACCUCAAAUCAGGUAGGACUACCCGCUGAACUUAA